RNAcentral lists this ribosomal RNA (253 nucleotides) under uncultured bacterium. Its description in RNAcentral is "partial 16S ribosomal RNA". It matches the Rfam family "Bacterial small subunit ribosomal RNA", at positions 524 to 776 of the family's 1533-position model. The record is from RNAcentral.
UACAGAGGUCUCAACCGUUGUUCGGAUUCAUUGGGCGUAAAGGGUGCGUAGGCGGUCGCGCAAGGCGGAUGUGAAAUCUUAGGGCUCAACCCUGAAACUGCAUUCGAUACUGCGUGGCUCGAGUACUGGAGAGGAGACUGGAAUUUACGGUGUAGCAGUGAAAUGCGUAGAUAUCGUAAGGAAGACCGGUGGCGAAGGCUAGUCUCUGGACAGUUACUGACACUGAGGCACGAAGGCCAGGGGAGCAAACGGG